UUACGGAAGGCAGCAGUGAGGAAUAUUGGGCAAUGCCCGUAAGGGUGACCCAGCAACGCCGCGUGGAGGAUGAAGGCCGUAAGGUUGUAAACUCCUGUGAGAUGGGAAGAAAGUCCAUAAUUCGUAAGGGUUAUGGUUUGACUGUACCAUCAGAGGAAGCCCCGGCUAACUACGUGCCAGCAGCCGCGGUAAUACGUAGGGGGCAAGCGUUGUCCGGAUUUACUGGGUGUAAAGGGCGCGUAGGCGGGUUCGUAAGUCAGAGGUGAAAUCUCCCGGCUUAACCGGGAAACUGCCUUUGAUACUGCGAAUCUUGAGUUCAGAAGAGAGAGAUGGAAUUCCAGGUGUAGUGGUGAAAUACGUAGAUAUCUGGAAGAACACCAGUGGCGAAGGCGAUCUCUUGGUCUGAAACUGACGCUGAGGCGCGAAAGCGUGGGUAGCAAACAGGAUUAGAUACCCCGGUAGUCCC
RNAcentral lists this ribosomal RNA (466 nucleotides) under uncultured bacterium. Its description in RNAcentral is "bacterial SSU rRNA". It matches the Rfam family "Bacterial small subunit ribosomal RNA", at positions 339 to 797 of the family's 1533-position model. The record is from RNAcentral.